GACGAACGCUGGCGGCGUGCUUAACACAUGCAAGUCACGGGGGCCCGCAAGGGUAACCGGCGAACGGGUGCGUAACACGUGAACAACCUGCCCUCGUGUGGGGGAUAGCCAUGCUAACGCGUGGGUAAUACCGCAUACGUUCCCCUGGAGGAGUCCCUGGGGGAGGAAAGCUCCGGCGCACGGGGAGGGGUUCGCGGCCUAUCAGCUAGUUGGCGGGGUAAUGGCCCACCAAGGCGACGACGGGUAGCUGGUCGAGAGGAUGGCCAGCCACAUUGGGACUGAGAGACGGCCCAGACUCCUACGGGAGGCAGCAGUGGGGAAUCUUGCGCAAUGGCCGAAAGGCUGACGCAGCGACGCCGCGUGUGGGAUGAAGCAUUUCGGUGUGUAAACCACUGUUGCCCGGGACGAACAGCCUUUUCGAGAGGUCUGACGGUACCGGGUGAGGAGCACCGGCUAACUCCGU
This 463-nucleotide ribosomal RNA is filed under the name uncultured bacterium. Its description in RNAcentral is "bacterial SSU rRNA". It matches the Rfam family "Bacterial small subunit ribosomal RNA", at positions 28 to 506 of the family's 1533-position model. The record is from RNAcentral.